RNAcentral lists this microRNA (23 nucleotides) under Heligmosomoides polygyrus. RNAcentral describes it as "hpo-miR-40b-3p". Its record names the gene hpo-miR-40b-3p. The record is from miRBase by way of RNAcentral. Lineage: Eukaryota; Metazoa; Nematoda; Chromadorea; Rhabditida; Heligmosomidae.
UCACCGGGCAUUCCUAUGACGAA